UACGUAGGUGGCAAGCGUUGUCCGGAAUUAUUGGGCGUAAAGCGCGCGCAGGCGGUCCUUUAAGUCUGAUGUGAAAGCCCACGGCUCAACCGUGGAAGGUCAUUGGAAACUGGGGGACUUGAGUGCAGAAGAGGAAAGUGGAAUUCCAAGUGUAGCGGUGAAAUGCGUAGAGAUUUGGAGGAACACCAGUGGCGAAGGCGACUUUCUGGUCUGUAACUGACGCUGAGGCGCGAAAGCGUGGGUAGCAAACAGG
This 253-nucleotide ribosomal RNA is filed under the name uncultured bacterium. RNAcentral's name for it is "partial 16S ribosomal RNA". It matches the Rfam family "Bacterial small subunit ribosomal RNA", at positions 524 to 776 of the family's 1533-position model. The record is from RNAcentral.